This 650-nucleotide ribosomal RNA is filed under the name uncultured marine bacterium. Its description in RNAcentral is "bacterial SSU rRNA". It matches the Rfam family "Bacterial small subunit ribosomal RNA", at positions 76 to 706 of the family's 1533-position model. The record is from RNAcentral.
GACUUCGGUCACUAGUAGAGCGGCGAACGGGUGAGUAACACGUGGACAACCUGCCCAGUAGUGGGGGACAACUUGGGGAAACCUAAGCUAAUACCGCAUACGUUCCAUCGGCCUCGGUCGGUGGGGGAAAGAUCGCCUAUCCUUGGAAGCGGUCGCUAUUGGAGGGGUCCGCGGCUGAUUAGCUAGUUGGUGAGGUAAUGGCUCACCAAGGCGACGAUCAGUAGCCGGCCUGAGAGGGCGAUCGGCCACACUGGAACUGAGACACGGUCCAGACUCCUACGGGAGGCAGCAGUGGGGAAUAUUGGACAAUGGGGGAAACCCUGAUCCAGCAACGCCGCGUGGAGGAUGAAAGCCUUCGGGUUGUAAACUCCUGUCAAGUGGAGCGAAAAGCAUCGGCAAAUAACCGAUGUCUAUGACGGUACCACUAGAGGAAGCCCCGGCUAACUCCGUGCCAGCAGCCGCGGUAAUACGGAGGGGGCAAGCGUUAUUCGGAAUUAUUGGGUGUAAAGGGCGCGUAGGCGGCCAUGCAAGUCAGGGGUGAAAUCCCUCGGCUCAACCGAGGAACUGCCUCUGAAACUGCAUGGCUUGAGACCGGGAGAGGGUGGUGGAAUUCCUAGUGUAGCGGUGAAAUGCGUAGAUAUUAGGAGGAA